Molecule: RNA transcript, 1712 nt
Organism: Mandrillus leucophaeus (drill)
Lineage: Eukaryota; Metazoa; Chordata; Mammalia; Primates; Cercopithecidae
Exons: 1
Source: RefSeq, a predicted model, not a curated record
AAGUGCUGAAAUCUGAAGAAAGGAAGAGCAGUUCAUGAAUGCUUAUCUCCACAUUGUUCACUGGGCUGUCCUAACCUCCCCUGCUCCCAGAGAAUACCAGAUGGCUUUACAAUUGAGGUGGUUCAAACGCAGAAGGCCCUUUUUCCUUUCAUUACUUGCUCAGUUAUCUGAACAUUGGCCCCCACACCUGCCACCUGGCCAGCACGGCUUCUGCCUCCCUCGGCACUGCCAGGCGGGGCUUUUCUCAGAUUCAUCCUCUGGGCCACCUUCAACUCCUCUCCCUCCCUCUGCAUUAACAUCCAGGCCACCCUCAUUAGUCCUUGGCAACCUAGCUUGGGUUGGCCUCCCCAGCCAGCCUUCCAGACUGUUCUUUCUCUCCCUUGCAGCCUGUCUUGCACACCACUGUGACCAGGUCCGUCUGUCUGAGAAUACCAUUUCCUCACAUCAUGGCCCUGUUUACAAAACUGUUUCCCAUUUGCCUAUCACAUCAGAUCAAAUCGGAACUCUUCGGCUCUGGACUGAAGCCGACGCCACUGUUCCUGGCAAGCCUCGUUGCCCUUCGAUCCCGGCGUUGGCCUCCGUCCCUGUCAGGCCUCGUAUGAUGCUGCUCUCUGGCGUCCUGCCGUCUCCAGCUCUGCCUGCACGUUGCUCCUGCAUUUCUCUCCACCUCAUAAGACUCUUAUUCCACGGCUCUGGCCAGGCCAAAGCAUACAUGGCCCAGUUAGCUCCCUUUUACUUGAAAUAUUCCCUGAGGAGCCCCUAGGUAUUUUUCUUUACUCACCAGAGACUUGUAGUCAGGGCCACACUGAUAUCAUUUGGGAAUUAUUUGCAAAGUCACAGCUCUGGACUUCUCUCUCCAGCUACAUCAUGAGUUUCUCAGCUAAGUCACAGGCCCACAGUUCCUGCUGCAGCUGGUAAACACUUUCAGUCACGGAAGGAAGCCUUUUUCGGUUCUCAGCUCUGCCAAGGAACUUCUUUCAUGUACACGAAACCACCAACUGUGAGAGGAUGGCUGCCUGUAUCUUGUUCCCCCUCAUCUUUUUUUUCUUUAAAAAGAUGGUAAAGCUGAUUAUAAGAAUUUAAGUAACGUGGCCCUAGAACUACACUCUGACUCUGAGCCCUGUGUCCUGCCCACAGCACCAGGCCACGAAGACAUACCACGUCGCUACCCUCACAUUUGCUUGUAACUUAGGAGGCUUGCUAGUAAAAUCGAUGGUGACAGUGGAUGUACUUCUCUUUUAAUACAUUUAUUCUAUUUCCUUCUCCUAUUUUCUUUAUUUGUUGAAAAGAAUGUGCUGAUUGAGAAGCCAAAUAUUAUUAACCAUUUUCCCCAUCUGUCACGGUUCUUUUGCACAGCACUGGAUUAGGCCGGGAAAUCAGGAAAUAUCAGGAAAAAGAUUCUUCUAGGGAAACUCUUACUAAUCUGAAUUGAUCACUAGAAAUACAUGGUCUCUACCUAAAGGACGCUUUGUCACUUAAAAUGCCGAGUACUUGUCAUAAUGUAAGGAAACCUCCAUUGUCAUGCAACCAUUUGCACCCAGACAUUGUGCCUGGUUGCACUUAACAUUUUAUCGUUUGAUUCUUACACCAGCCCUCCAAUGUGAUGAAACCAAGGCUCCUAGGUGCUAAGUGACAUUCCCCUAGUCAUGCAGCCUAGUGGUAAAGCGGAGAUUCAAAUCUAGUUUUUGUUUUCCUUUGAGCUGGAGCUGCAA